RNAcentral lists this ribosomal RNA (462 nucleotides) under Staphylococcus aureus. RNAcentral's name for it is "bacterial SSU rRNA". It matches the Rfam family "Bacterial small subunit ribosomal RNA", at positions 64 to 508 of the family's 1533-position model. The record is from RNAcentral. Lineage: Bacteria; Bacillati; Bacillota; Bacilli; Caryophanales; Staphylococcaceae.
GAGCGAACGGACGAGAAGCUUGCUUCUCUGAUGUUAGCGGCGGACGGGUGAGUAACACGUGGAUAACCUACCUAUAAGACUGGGAUAACUUCGGGAAACCGGAGCUAAUACCGGAUAAUAUUUUGAACCGCAUGGUUCAAAAGUGAAAGACGGUCUUGCUGUCACUUAUAGAUGGAUCCGCGCUGCAUUAGCUAGUUGGUAAGGUAACGGCUUACCAAGGCAACGAUGCAUAGCCGACCUGAGAGGGUGAUCGGCCACACUGGAACUGAGACACGGUCCAGACUCCUACGGGAGGCAGCAGUAGGGAAUCUUCCGCAAUGGGCGAAAGCCUGACGGAGCAACGCCGCGUGAGUGAUGAAGGUCUUCGGAUCGUAAAACUCUGUUAUUAGGGAAGAACAUAUGUGUAAGUAACUGUGCACAUCUUGACGGUACCUAAUCAGAAAGCCACGGCUAACUACGUGC